UACGAAGGGGGCUAGCGUUGUUCGGAUUUACUGGGCGUAAAGGGCGCGUAGGCGGCUUUUUAAGUCAGGGGUGAAAUCCCAAGGCUCAACCUUGGAACUGCCUUUGAUACUGGGGAUCUUGAGUCCGGGAGAGGUGAGUGGAACUGCGAGUGUAAAGGUGAAAUUCGUAGAUAUUCGCAAGAACACCAGUGGCGAAGGCGGCUUCCUGGUCUGCGACUGACGCUGUGGCGCGAAAGCUAGGGGAGCAAACGGG
This 253-nucleotide ribosomal RNA is filed under the name uncultured bacterium. RNAcentral describes it as "partial 16S ribosomal RNA". It matches the Rfam family "Bacterial small subunit ribosomal RNA", at positions 524 to 776 of the family's 1533-position model. The record is from RNAcentral.